This 465-nucleotide ribosomal RNA is filed under the name uncultured bacterium. RNAcentral's name for it is "bacterial SSU rRNA". It matches the Rfam family "Bacterial small subunit ribosomal RNA", at positions 338 to 795 of the family's 1533-position model. The record is from RNAcentral.
CCUACGGGCCGCAGCAGGGGGGAAUAUUGCACAAUGGGCGCAAGCCUGAUGCAGCCAUGCCGCGUGUAUGAAGAAGGCCAUCGGGUUGUAAAGUACUUUCAGCGAGGAGGAAGGCGUUAAGGUUAAUAACCUUGGCGAUUGACGUUACUCGCAGAAGAAGCACCGGCUAACUCCGUGCCAGCAGCCGCGGUAAUACGGAGGGUGCAAGCGUUAAUCGGAAUUACUGGGCGUAAAGCGCACGCAGGCGGUCUGUCAAGUCGGAUGUGAAAUCCCCGGGCUCAACCUGGGAACUGCAUUCGAAACUGGCCGGCUAGAGUCUUGUAGAGGGGGGUAGAAUUCCAGGUGUAGCGGUGAAAUGCGUAGAGAUCUGGAGGAAUACCGGUGGCGAAGGCGGCCCCCUGGACAAAGACUGACACUCAGGUGCGAAAGCGUGGGGAGCAAACAGGAUUAGAUACCCGUGUAGUC